AGAUGCCAGUUAACUGUCGAGAGGGGACGCUCCCUCCUCGUAGGCGUCCACACUGGAGAAGGAAUAAGAUGGGCGAUUGCCUGGGAAGCCUGACAGGGCGGCGGCAGCUGGGAUGCUGGAGAGGACUGGCCCCUUGAGUUACUGAGUCCGAUGAAUGUGCUUGCUCUGCUGGAGGAACCGCGCUCAGGUUACAGUCAUCCCAAUAUGGUUCUGAAGGUGCGUGGUUCAGGUCACUUAGGACUUGACCAGAUACCGGGUUUCUUUUACAAGCCGUUUCUGACGGUGGCCUGUUUCAACUACUGGCAGAGCUCAUGUAAAACAGACUUUUAAAAAAAUUUGGGGGGCUUUUAGUAUUUUUUUCUUAUUCCUAUAUUCUGAGGAUAUUUUAUAGUAGUCCCACAUAUGGAAUUAGAUAAUCUCUUUUUUGUUUGAUUAACAGUUUUAUCAAGUAUAAUGUACAUACCAUAACGUUCACCCAUUUUAAUGGAUUCAAUGAUUUUUAGCAUAUUUACAGAGUGGUGCAACCAUCAGCAUAAUAGAAUUAAGGAAUCGUGAUUUUUUUUUUCUGGUAAUUGCUUUUACAGUUCUCAAAGUUUGCACAAGCGGAUAUUUUAGAGGUACAGUGUAAUAUAAGAGCUUCUGAAAAUGUCCACUUAAGUUGUUUUAUACCUGAGCAAGUGAAAUUAAGAAGGGAAUUGAAGCAAAUAUUCCUGGUAAGUUGUAGGGAGUGAAACUUUUGUGUCUUGUAAUACCAAGUAGAUAUUGACCAUUUCAACUGGUUUUUAUGCUGAGGAAAUGCAUAAACCCCAUUUUACAGAUGAUGAAAUCGACUUUGAAGGAUAAGUUGCCUACAGCUGCAUACCUGUGCCUGGGCUAGGCCCCAAACCCAGAUGCUUUAUCUCUCAAUUUGUUACCCUUGCUACCUCAACAGCUUGGUUUUCAACCAUGGUACUGAUGAGUGUGAACAGUACAAGCCAUUCAUUUACUGAGCAAAUAAUUAUUGAGUGCCACUCUGUGCCAAGAACACUGCUAUAGGUGCUAGAGAUAUUAUUGAAUCAGAUACCGUAGUGAACUGUUCCUGCCCUCAGCUCAUCUUCUGGUGGGGAGGACAAUGAUCAAGUAAAGAAAUAUAUAGUUUUAGAGAUUCAUCUAUUUUUUUAAUAGGUAAAUUAAAAGGGCAAGGAAUGGCAGUGGGAGGCAGAAUCUGAUGAGAAAAAUCUGAAUGAAGAGAGGAAGUUAGGAUAUAAGAAAGAAAGCAAGGGUUUGAUUUGAGCAAGCGCAAAAAUAGAGUUGUGAUUUACUGAAUUGAAAUAAGGUGAUACUGGAAGGACCAGGUUUUGGGGGUACAAUCAUAAGUUUGGCUUUAAAUGUUUUUAAAUACCUUGCCUCUUAGACAUCCAAGUGGAGAUAUGGCAUUUAAAUUCAUGAGAUUGGAUGAGAUCCCACCAAAGGAACAGGUUUAGGUGGAGACAACCAAAUACCGAUGCCUAGGACACUGCAGUGUUUAGAAUUCAAGGAGAUGAGAAGGAAACAGGAGGGAAGAUUGAAAAGAAGAGUCCAGUGUGUUAUGAGGAAAACCCCAAGAGCAUGCUGCCUUACAAGACAGAUGGAGUCCUCCUCUGUCACCCAGGCUGGAACGCAGUGGUAUGAUCUCGGCUAACUGCAACCUCAGCCUGCCAGGUUCAAGCAAUUCUUCUGCCUCAGCCUCCCGAGUAGCUGGGAUUACAGGUGCCUGCUGCCAUGAUGAUUAAUUUUAUGUGUUAACUUAGCUGGGCUGUGUUGCCCAGAUAGUUGGUUAAACAUUAUUCUGGAUGUUUCUGUGAAGAUGUUUUUGGAUGAGGUUAACAUUUAGAUCGGUGGACUUUGAGUAAAGCAGAUUACCUUUCAUAAUUUGGGUGGGGCUCAUCCAAUCAGUUGAACAUCUGAAGAGACCAAAAGACUGACCUUCUGCAAGCAAAGAAAAAUUCUGCCAACAGACAGCCAUUGGACUUGAACUUCAACAUUGACUCUUCAGUCUAUUGGCCCACCCUGCAAAUUUUGGACUUGCCAAGGCAGGGUUUCACGACAUUGCCCAGGCUGGUCUUGAGCUCAAGUGAUCCAUCUGCCUUGGCCUCCCAAAGUGCUGAGAUUACAGGCAUGAGCCACAGUGCCUGGCCCAAAUUAUUGUAGUUAUUUCCAAUUCCUUUCCCCCUUCUCACAUCCCAAUUAAAGAAUUCCACUCAGGAAUUGUUGUAGUAGAAGUGCUUUAGUCUGUGUGCUACGGUUUGGAUACUGUUUGUUUGCCAAGUCUCAUGUUGGAAUUUGAUCACUAAUGUUGAAGGUGGAGCCUGGUGGGAAGUGUUUGGGUUGUUAAGGCAGAUCCCUUAUGAAUGGUGUGGUGCCCUUCUAGAGGGAGUAAGUUCGUUCUCACUCUUGGUUCCCACAAGAUCUCGUUGUUGUAAAGAUCCUUGUACUUACCCCUCCUCUCUCUCUUGCCUUCUCUUUCACCAUGUGAUCUACACACACAGUAUCAUAAGGCAUCUUUCUGAUCCUUUAGUGUUCACUCUCCAGUACCUUUAAUAUUUGCCUUCAAAUUUCUCAAAUUUCUUUAUUUACUUCCAUUUUUCUCCUACAAUAAUUGUAGGCGUACUUAAAGUAGAAUUACAAUAUAAAUAAUAUUUUA
This 2662-nucleotide long non-coding RNA is filed under the name Homo sapiens (human). RNAcentral's name for it is "HSALNT0377503". The record is from RNAcentral. Lineage: Eukaryota; Metazoa; Chordata; Mammalia; Primates; Hominidae.